CCGGCGUCCUGAGCCAAGCUGCCGCGUCCUUCGCCCUCCGUGUGGCCGUGGCCUUUAAACCGCCGUUUCCUCGGCGGGUGGCGGGGGCGCUGAGUUUCCCGCCGGGAGGUAAAGUGGCCCCCCUCUACUUCCCAAGUGCGGCAAGGAGACAGGCCUCUGGGCGCUAGGUACCCGCCCCCCACCCUCGCCCUACACGUGCCGGUGCGAGGCCCUCGCGAGGCCGAGGAGGCGGAGCGCUUUCCCCGAGAGCGCAGUGAGUGGGACGCGGUGCCUGUCUCUUCUCUCUCCACAGAUGAGAGAAUUGAGACAAGGAAAUUAUAUGCCCUGCUCAAUAUAAAUACAACUGGCUAUAAACUUCAGGAGGGCAAAGUACAGCAUCUCUCUCAUUCACUCCUGUGUCUCGAGCAUCCAGUACUGUGCCAGGCAUAUGAGGCACGAGUGUGUUCUGGAUGGAUGUGGAGAGAAGAGCAGCCUUCCCCACACAUGACUGCCUAGAGGAGCCGCCAGAGCGCUGGCACGUUCUGAAGAAGGCAGCAGAGAGGCGUGACUGGUGGCAGAGGGAGCCCCACGCCGAGCUGUCCCGGGGGCUCGAGACGGCGUCUCACCAAGCUGCCCUGGAACUCGCCCAGCUUUGCUUCACGUGUUCCAAGCUCAUUCUGGAGAAUUGCUGUUCCAGUAAAAGAUACAAGAGUUCUCCAGGCUCUGCCUCAGCCCCAUGAGUAGAGCAUCAACACUUUUCUCUGCUCCCAGUUCCCAGGGAAGAAUAUGUAGCCCCGAGGAUCACGGCUUCACCUGUUAGAGGACCAACCAGAGGCUGAGACCAUCAAUCCUGCUGCUGGUCCUAGUCUCCGAUUCCUAGAAGAUAGAAUCUGAUUCCUCCAGCUUGAGUCUUCCUUGCUCUACUCAACUCUGGGUGGAGUUUUAUCUUCAAGAUGAAAUCAUCAUUUUGUACUCAUUGGAUCUGUAUGGAUUGAGCAUCAUCAAAUCCUUGUAUUGAGCGGAUGUGUUUGCAGAUCUAGGUCGAAUUUACACUUGCCUGCUGGCAUCAGGUCUCCAAGGGGGAAAGAAAACAGAACUUUCCAACAGCAGUGGGUGAGCCAUCCAUCUCUACUGUACCUUGUAAUAGAGACAUAUGAAGGAUGCAGUGAUUUCACUGCCAUCAGGAAACCCUGAGAGGCAGGAGGAAAUAGAGAAGGCUGCACAGAACAACAACUAUUCCUGGACAAGACACCACUGAGAAAAUCCUAGAAUACAGGGCUGAGACAGACCACACAAGAAGGGCCUCUCACUGUUGUGGCCCCUCCCGUUGCAGAGCACAGGCUCCGGACGCGCAGGCCCAGCGGCCAUGGCUCACGGGCCCAGCCGCUCCGCGGCAUGUGGGAUCUUCCCGGACCGGGGCACGAACCCGCAUCCCCUGCAUCGGCAGGCAGACUCUCAACCACUACGCCACCAGGGAAGCCCUAGAUUCUUAAAUCCUAUGAAAUCACCUUCUAUUAUGUGUUUGACAUACUGCUGGGUACAUUCUGCUCUUCAACUCAUGUGCUGCUGUUUCUUCUUUCAACAAUGUACUUUUUAAUAUCUUGCAUCUCUAGUUAUUCUGUCUGGGAUUAUUAAGAGCUGCCAAAUUGAGUUCUAAAAAGUGUUCUUAUUAAGUGGAAAAAUCAUGCUAAAAUGAGUUGUUAUCUGGAUUGAAUAGCUUAGAAACAAAUGUGCCCAAUUUCAUAAAUCUAGUUUUCACUCUAGAAGUUUGUGACAGACCUGAGAAAUUCAGGAUUUUAAAUCCUCAGAUGGAGCAAGAGAAGGCAAGGAAAGCAUAGCUCUGGACAAAUAACUGGCCACAUACUUCUGUGGUGGUCUUCCAAAGACCAAUCACACCCUUGAAAUCAAGGUACCUCUGGUGGUAGUGAAACUGCAGGACCCUGUGGGGCUCCUGGGCACAAAAGCCUUUCUAUGUCCCCCCAUUUCUUAAUUGUAGGGAAUAGGCUCCAGCCUCCGUGACCUUCCCUGAGUUCCAAAGGGCAGGUUCAAACAGUUGCUAAUCAGGGAAGGAAGGGACUCCACGACAAGUGAGGAGCAGUCAAAAAAUAACAGUGCAGCCUUGGGGCAGGAUCCUGGUUCCACCUCAAGGGAUACACAUAACAAUAUCUUUGCGCUCUUCUGCAGAACUAAAACCCGCAAGAAAUGGAAGAGGUUAACUACUUGAUGAAGCAUUCUUCCUUCCAGAGAAAAAGUCACAGUUUGAUAACCUUAAGAACCUCAGAAGCUCAUCAGGAGGCCGCCUCAGGCCAGAUUAAAGGAAUGCAGGCCCUGCACACACCCCGAUCCUUAUUAGCAACUCCACCCUUGAACCAUUGCUAUAAAACCCCUCACCAAAUCUCCCCAGGGUGGGACACACAGUUUUGAGGGGCACAAGCCCUCUGUGUCCCCGUUUGCCUGGCAAAGCAAUAAAACUAUUCUUUUCUACUUCACCCAGAACUCGUCUCCAAGAUUUGAUUUGGUACUGGCGCACAGAGGCAGUUUGAGCAUCAGUAGGUGUACAAAAGUAAAUGACUUAAACACACCCUAACAAAACAAAAACGACAGUGUCCCCAUGGCAUCUUUAAUGCAUCCACACCAUAUCCACUUAAGUUGAAUUAGUGCUUCCCAGUGCCACGUGAUGCAUAUGAGCCAGGGAGAGCACAAAUCCGUCUUCGCUUUUGGUAUUCUGUGACCCUGGGGAUUUAUAUUCUCAACUAAACUGUUUUAUUGGCCUAGUGUAUGCAUUUAAUAUCUAGUUUCAUACUGAAAACAUGUAGACGGUGAAUGACUUUGAGCUCCUUGAAAAAGCCAUGAGCUCCAAAUCACAAAGGCCGUGUAUCAGAAGAUGUUGUUAUUAACUCCCCAGACAUCCUUCAGAGUGUCAAAAGCAGCUUCCCAAGGAGCAGGGAGUCUAAUAUGGGUACAGAUUCCCCAGAUCUUGACAUUCAAUUUCAGGGUUUUAAUUUACUCCAGACUCACACGUCCUGUGUCCCAUGAAAGACAAUAGUCAGCUGCAAGAUCUCAUCACCACAGUCCCCCCAAACUGUCUGAAACUCUGGGGACUCCAAGGGAAAGAUGGAGAGAUUUUUGUCAGAUCAUCAGCACCCUAUUUUCAGAGGUCCUCCACAAGGCGGAAGUGGAAAUACUUACCUGAGUCUGUGAUCAAGUCCCUCAGCUAUCAAAGACAUGCAUCUGGAAAGUUUAUUACAACUACUGAGCCUGCACUCUAGAGCCGGUGAGCCACAACUACUGAGCCCGCGUGCUGCAACUACCGAAGCCCGUGCACCUAGAGCCCGUGCUCCGUAACAAGAGAAGCCACCACAAUGACAAGCCUGUGCACUGCAAUGAAGUGUAGCCCCCGCUCGCAGCAACGAAGACCCAACACAGCCAAAAAUAAAUUAAUUAAUUAAUUAAUUUUAAAAAAAGAGAACAAAGUUUUCUUGGAAUGCUGCUUUUGAUAAUAGACUGUGUGAAUUUGUUUACAUUU
This is a long non-coding RNA of Mesoplodon densirostris (Blainville's beaked whale), 3505 nucleotides long. RefSeq lists it as uncharacterized. The record is from RefSeq and is a predicted model, not a curated record. The transcript is spliced from 10 exons. Lineage: Eukaryota; Metazoa; Chordata; Mammalia; Artiodactyla; Ziphiidae.